Molecule: ribosomal RNA, 253 nt
Filed under: uncultured bacterium
Lineage: Bacteria
Description: partial 16S ribosomal RNA
Rfam family: Bacterial small subunit ribosomal RNA
Source: RNAcentral
UACGGAGGGAGCUAGCGUUGUUCGGAAUUACUGGGCGUAAAGCGCGCGUAGGCGGCUUUGUAAGUUAGAGGUGAAAGCCCGGAGCUCAACUCCGGAACUGCCUUUAAGACUGCAUCGCUAGAAUCCGGGAGAGGUGAGUGGAAUUCCGAGUGUAGAGGUGAAAUUCGUAGAUAUUCGGAAGAACACCAGUGGCGAAGGCGGCUCACUGGACCGGUAUUGACGCUGAGGUGCGAAAGCGUGGGGAGCAAACAGG